This 377-nucleotide ribosomal RNA is filed under the name uncultured Serratia sp. Its description in RNAcentral is "bacterial SSU rRNA". It matches the Rfam family "Bacterial small subunit ribosomal RNA", at positions 521 to 895 of the family's 1533-position model. The record is from RNAcentral. Lineage: Bacteria; Pseudomonadati; Pseudomonadota; Gammaproteobacteria; Enterobacterales; Yersiniaceae.
UAAUACGGAGGGUGCAAGCGUUAAUCGGAAUUACUGGGCGUAAAGCGCACGCAGGCGGUUUGUUAAGUCAGAUGUGAAAUCCCCGGGCUCAACCUGGGAACUGCAUUUGAAACUGGCAAGCUAAGAGUCUCGUAGAGGGGGGGUAGAAUUCCAGGUGUAGCGGUGAAAUGCGUAGAGAUCUGGAGGAAUACCGGUGGCGAAGGCGGCCCCCUGGACGAAGACUGACGCUCAGGUGCGAAAGCGUGGGGAGCAAACAGGAUUAGAUACCCUGGUAGUCCACGCUGUAAACGAUGUCGAUUUGGAGGUUGUGCCCUUGAGGCGUGGCUUCCGGAGCUAACGCGUUAAAUCGACCGCCUGGGGAGUACGGCCGCAAGGUU